Cervus elaphus (red deer) is the source of this 2433-nucleotide long non-coding RNA. RefSeq lists it as uncharacterized. The transcript is spliced from 4 exons. The record is from RefSeq and is a predicted model, not a curated record. Lineage: Eukaryota; Metazoa; Chordata; Mammalia; Artiodactyla; Cervidae.
GCGGAGGGGAGAGACGGACUGAUACACAGCAUCUGGUUAAAGUCAGAUGGAGGAAAACUGCAGCCAAUGCAGAAGUUUCAAUUUUAGGAGAUACUUGGGAGAAAUGAGAGAGACGGAAACACUUUGUUCUGUCACUAUCCUGUUAGCUGGGUGCCGAUCGGAACAUUUGGCAUCAUGAGCGGAGGGUGGACUUUGGCCAACCCCACGCCCCCACCAGGUGCAAAAAUGCCAAAGGAACUUCUCCAGCCAGAAGAUCCCCCGGAAUGAAGGCUGAAGAUUUCCAAAGUACUGGCCCCUCUGAAAUCUGCCUGAGGCAACUUGAACUUAGAUGAAUGGCCAUUAAACAUGCUGAUGCUGAACAAGGCUGCACAGCGUCCAAUGACAUCUCUGCUGAUUGGCCUCAUAGACGAAAGAAUCCCCACGGACCCAAACGACGCCAAACAUCUUGGCAAUGUGGGUGGUUCUGUCUCCGGCAACUGGACCUAUGGUUCUUCAAAAAACAACAUGAGAAGUUAUACACCUGCCUAUCUCAACAGAAGGAUGCAGGUGGGAGGCUCUAGAGCAUGCAAUUUUCAAAUUCCUGCUACUUACUAGCUGUGUGGUUUAGGCAAAUUGCAGAAACCUCUCUGUGUUCAGUUUCUUUGGCUAUCACAAUGGGGAUAAUAAUGACCACCUCAUAAAUGAGGACCUUCAAAAAAAAUAAAUAAACGAGGACCUUCAUGUUGAGCACUUGAUAGUACAAUGACUCAGCUUAGUCACGACUCAACAAGUGUUAGCUGUACUUCAUUCCCAUCAAAUAAAACAAUAAGCACUUAAACAAUUUAUAAAAUUCAAAGCUUUUAAGAGAGGGUAAGAUUUUUUGUAGACACAGUGGGAUGGAUUGGGAAAAGUAUUGGACUUGGAGUCUGUCUUAAUCUUAUAUCCAACACCCAUCAGUUCUGUUACCCAAGGUAAGCCUGUUAACUGCCAAGAAGUCUCAGUUUAUUUGCUUAAUGUCAAUAAUAGCACACGUCCUGCCUUGCUAUAUGAGUCUGAAAAUAAAAGAUGAUUCAUGUGACGUUAUCUGGCGGAAACGAAAUGCUUUGCAAAGGAAACGUAUCAAUUAGUUGUUGUUAUCGUUAGUAUGUUAAAGAACCGUCCUUCAUUUAUCUGUGAUGGUCAGAAUGAAGACUCCAUUCACUGGAAAGGCUUUCACCAUGCCUCAAAAUAGCAUUCCAGCAAAGUCUUAUUUACACAGGUUCCGUGAUUUAAUUGCCUCUGAGGACGUGGAGCAGCCCCUUGAAGAGAAGUGAAGUCUUGGGUUACUUUACGUUGGCCUGGGCUUUAGAAGCGGGUGGCAGUAACUCUGAAUAGAAUCAGUGUUGAACUGUACACAUUUAUGAUUUAUUUUGGUUAGAGCAACCCUCAGGGUAGGGUGGGAUUUGGUGGGGUGGCAGUAGCCUGGUCUGGUCAAUGAUUAAUCUGGGAAUUUCCAGCUGUCCUCAGCCCUUUUAGGAAAAGCCCCAGCUGUCUUCAGAGCUAAUGAAUGUCCAUCCUGAAUGAAUCUCCUGGAAGCUGCCCACCCCCGGUUCUCCGGGGCCCAGCAAUGCUGAGUGGUUAGUAUGGAUGGUUCAUAGGAAAACAAAGCUUUGAAAGGCAGGACAGAAACAAAUUCUGACUUGACCUCAAGCUGCUCCCGAAGCCCAGGGUUCAUGUUUCCCAGGCUGCACAUCAAUCUCAGCUCCCCAGGCUGGCGAGGUGGGAAGAGAGUUCACAGUGCCCUUCAAUCAGGGAUGGUGCUGGAGGCAGCAAGGACGAGCCGCUCGUUAUGUGAGCGAGUUAGGAGUCUGUUUCUUUAGUCUUUUUGUGUUCCUUUACAGAACUUAGUUUGACAACGGCCUUGGACCAGCAUGAAGCAAAGAUUCUGAGUCGACAUCAGCUUCACCUGGCAUUUCAGAAAGAUACCCCUUGCAUGCCACUUCCUUUCCUUCCAUUGUUUAUCUCUGCAGCUUCAAUCUCAUGGAGGCGAUAUUCAUUUACUUAGGGGCUCAAUUUAGGUGAUGAAAAUUCUAACUGUUCCUGGUGGAGAGGGCACAUGCCUCCUAGCUUUUGCUCUCAAUAUCCACUUGCUGUGGCCAUCGUGCUACACCUCAGCCGUAGGACCAACCUGAAGUCAGGGGAAUGCUUUCCACCCUUGAGGUGCAACUUACAGCUCCACAAGCCAGCACACAUCCUUGGCCUUCUUCCUUGUGGCCUGUGGCAUCAUUAGUGGAUAGAUCUGGCUUCAGUUUAGCUCAGGCCUUGGGGAUCUGAGCACAUGGCUCUUCCUGCCACUUCCGCUUCCCAAGAGUCCUCAUAUCAGCAACCUUUGGGAAUAAAGUGCUCUUAGAGCACCUGAAAAAUAAAAAGUAGAUGGCACUAGUGGUAAAGAACCCACCUGCCAAGGCAGGAGAU